Oncorhynchus keta (chum salmon) is the source of this 306-nucleotide long non-coding RNA. RefSeq lists it as uncharacterized. The transcript is spliced from 3 exons. Lineage: Eukaryota; Metazoa; Chordata; Actinopteri; Salmoniformes; Salmonidae. The record is from RefSeq and is a predicted model, not a curated record.
ACACACACACACACAUACCCCUCAGGUGAGACAGAACACACACACACACAUACCCCUCAGGUGAGACAGAACACACACACAUACCCCUCAGGUGAGACAGAACACACACACACACAGACCCCUCAGGUGAGACAGAACACACACACACACAUACCCCUCAGGUGAGACAGAACACACACACAUACCCCUCAGGUGAGACAGAACACACACACACAUACCCCUCAGGUGAGACAGAACACACACAUACCCCUCAGGUGAGACAGAACACACACACACAUACCCCUCAGGUGAGACAGAACACACACA